This 686-nucleotide long non-coding RNA is filed under the name Rhinolophus ferrumequinum (greater horseshoe bat). RNAcentral describes it as "lncRNA (ENSRFEG00010005269.1)". The record is from RNAcentral. Lineage: Eukaryota; Metazoa; Chordata; Mammalia; Chiroptera; Rhinolophidae.
CACCCUUACGGAUGCAGGAGGGCUCGUCACGCAGCGCCCAGCACAGCCCCAGUGGGGAGCCAGCGGGCCACGCGGGUCUCAAGCCCAUGGCGCGGCCCCUUUAAAUGCAAAUCCACCGGCGGCCAUCGGGGGCAGCACUGAGCGGCCGGACGGCCUCCGCGCCGCUGCCUCGAAGCUUCUGCCGGUGCCGGGGACGCGGCGCGGAUGCGCCCGGGACGCGGUGGAGCGGGGGACGACGGGUGGGCCUGGGCCUGCGCAGCCCAUUGAGCUCCGCGGGAGAGCAGCGCCCAGGUGCUUCUGACGCCGGCAUGGAGCAAGUGCCUGUGGCCUCAGCCAAGGCCCAAAAUCAGGGCUGCUCUGCCCACUGCGCCCCAGGGCGAAAGCCCCACAAGGCCGAGUGAGCUGCAGCAGCCAUUCUGGGAACCUCUUUUAAGAUGACCCGCACGGACCCGCCAGACCUGUUGGUGUCGACCGUGUACCAGGACAUCAAAGUGGCGGCCCCAGGGCCCGCGUCCAGGCGCCCGCCAUAUGAGCGCCCCGUGGCCCGGCCUGCUGCGCCCGCGCCUUUCAACAAGCGCCACUGCCGCAGCUUCGACUUCCUGGAGGCGCUGGACGGGGCGGCCAUGGAGGCUCUCCCUGAGCCGCCGCCCACGGAGCCCCCGGGGCCCCGCGCCCGGCCCCGCGAC